Molecule: ribosomal RNA, 504 nt
Filed under: Stenotrophomonas maltophilia
Lineage: Bacteria; Pseudomonadati; Pseudomonadota; Gammaproteobacteria; Lysobacterales; Lysobacteraceae
Description: bacterial SSU rRNA
Rfam family: Bacterial small subunit ribosomal RNA
Source: RNAcentral
GACCUACGGGUGAAAGCAGGGGACCUUCGGACCUUGCGCGAUUGAAUGAGCCGAUGUCGGAUUAGCUAGUUGGCGGGGUAAAGGCCCACCAAGGCGACGAUCCGUAGCUGGUCUGAGAGGAUGAUCAGCCACACUGGAACUGAGACACGGUCCAGACUCCUACGGGAGGCAGCAGUGGGGAAUAUUGGACAAUGGGCGCAAGCCUGAUCCAGCCAUACCGCGUGGGUGAAGAAGGCCUUCGGGUUGUAAAGCCCUUUUGUUGGGAAAGAAAUCCAGCUGGUUAAUACCCGGUUGGGAUGACGGUACCCAAAGAAUAAGCACCGGCUAACUUCGUGCCAGCAGCCGCGGUAAUACGAAGGGUGCAAGCGUUACUCGGAAUUACUGGGCGUAAAGCGUGCGUAGGUGGUCGUUUAAGUCCGUUGUGAAAGCCCUGGGCUCAACCUGGGAACUGCAGUGGAUACUGGGCGACUAGAAUGUGGUAGAGGGUAGCGGAAUUCCUGGUGU